UACAGAGGGUGCGAGCGUUAAUCGGAAUGACUGGGCGUAAAGGGCGCGUAGGCGGUUGUGUAAGUUGGAUGUGAAAUCCCCGGGCUUAACCUGGGAACGGCAUCUGAAACUGCAUGACUGGAGUGCUGUAGAGGGUGGAAGAAUUUCCGGUGUAGCGGUGAAAUGCGUAGAUAUCGGAAAGAACACCAAGGGCGAAGGCACUCUGCUGGGCCGAAACUGACACUGAGAGACGAGAGCUAGGGGAGCAGAUGGG
RNAcentral lists this ribosomal RNA (253 nucleotides) under uncultured prokaryote. Its description in RNAcentral is "partial 16S ribosomal RNA". It matches the Rfam family "Bacterial small subunit ribosomal RNA", at positions 524 to 776 of the family's 1533-position model. The record is from RNAcentral.